This 1177-nucleotide long non-coding RNA is filed under the name Zonotrichia albicollis (white-throated sparrow). RNAcentral's name for it is "lncRNA (ENSZALG00000007878.1)". Lineage: Eukaryota; Metazoa; Chordata; Aves; Passeriformes; Passerellidae. The record is from RNAcentral.
UAUAUUGGUUAAUUUAGCUUGAUUCUGUUUAUGUGGGAGAAAUGAAUAUCUGGCCCUAAAUUCUAUGAAUAUUUCUAUGUAAAACUGAGUUAUGGUAUAUAUUUAAUGAAAAAAUAAAUGUUGGGUCCAUUUUAUUCUCCACAAAAAAAGUUAUGGUAGUUAAAAUUCUUAAAGAGGCAUCAGUUUGUUGUGCUGUUUAUUCUCUAACAGAAACUAAUGACAAUGAAGUCAUCAACCCCACAUAAAAUCCCUCAGGCACAGUCUUUGUCAUUUGUUAUUACUUCCUCUAAUGCUUUGCAAUGAGUGAUGAAAUGGUUUGAAAGAACACAAAAGAGGGCUCUGAAUUAUCUAAAACUGUCUAAUAUAGUUGUGGCUUGGUAUUUAAAAUUAUCUCUUGACUCACUGGAGGCAUUAAAUGGGGUGCAAAUGCAUUUCAUGUGCCUAUAAUUCUCAUCAAGAAAAUGUUAGAAGUAAAUCAGGGAUGGUUUGGUAAGUGUUUGGGAGUCUGAAGGAUUAAGGAGAAGAUAUUUUCUUGCAUUAUUUAUGAAGUGUGAAAUUGGGGAGAAAAUCUUACUCUGCAAGAAGGAAUUUCAUAGAGUAUUUUUAAAUUGCAGUAAGAACGUGGUUUUGGAAUGAAAUGCUGAUGCUCCUCAGGAGAUUCUUUUUUAAUGGAAAGAGUAUGUUUUUACAGAUCUGUUUUGUUUUUGUUCUUAAUUGAUUUAAUUACAUACAGAUUUUAUGUUCUGUUCCACAGAGUAAAUUUCUCAAGGCCUCUGAUAGCUGAGUGGAAUGACUACUAUGUGGCAUGAAGAAAUAGGCAUGUUACAUUUUCCAUCUGUUGAUUUGCAAUUCAAUAGACCCUGCCCUCAAGCAAAAGCAACUGAACCAGCAAACCUCUCAAUUACUGUGCCAGUUGAACCCCAGUUUUUUCCACAGAUUUGCCAAGGCGUCUGCAGCAUGGGUCACAGUUGAUAUAAGACUCUUGUGUCAUGCUUCUUCUCAGCAGGGAGCCAUGAUUUUGUUUAAAGCUGCGAAACCACUCAGGUUGCCCCUCUGCUGAAUCUUAAAAUCAAAGAAGAAUGCAGGUGGUGUGUGUGCAGGUGGGAUGUAGAAAAUAGUGAAAAACACAAGGCUAAAGUUCUGAGGGUGCUUUCUUGUACACAGCCCUCAAUAACAG